Sinocyclocheilus rhinocerous is the source of this 909-nucleotide long non-coding RNA. RefSeq lists it as uncharacterized. The record is from RefSeq and is a predicted model, not a curated record. Lineage: Eukaryota; Metazoa; Chordata; Actinopteri; Cypriniformes; Cyprinidae. The transcript has 8 exons.
UAUCCAGCUGCAGCCCCGCAGCCCCACACGUUUUAGGACACACAAUCCAGACCACACUAUCCAGGCCGGAAGUGAGGGGCGGAGUUAGUAAAACGUAACAACAUGGUGGAGAGCAGGGGAAUGGAUGUGUGGACAGCUGACGCAUAUGUUGUGGCUACCUGGUUACCUCCAAAUAAUUUGGACCCAUCACUGUCUUUUCCAGAUCACAUUGCAUUCAAAGAUGCUAUUGUCUUUCCUGCUUGGAAGCCAGGACACUGGAUGUUGUGUUAAGAUGACAGCUAAAAUUGCAGACAUGGAUGCUACUAAAAAACAAGGUUAGUUUUGUAAUUGGGACAUAUGUCAAUCUCUUACACACAACCUAAAUAUUUUUCUUUUUCAUUUUUUUUAAGGAUGUCCCCCAACAGAUUGGCUAUGUGGACUGUGGAGUCUUCAUGUUGAUGUAUGCUCUACACGUUGUGUUGGGAGCCCCCUUUGACUUUACAUCUCAUGACUUUCCAAAAAUCAGGAGAUGGUGGGUGGGCACUAAUUCUUUUGGAGAACUUUGGAGUUGUCCCAGAAAGGACAGAAAAUCUCCAGAAGACACUAGAGCUACAUGAAGAACAAGCUACACCCAGCAGCAGUGAGGAGCUCACUAUAAUCAAACACAUGAAACUGGCUGUAAAAUGGAUACAUGCCAAUAGACAUGUGUUCAGGGGCCCUGUGGAAGAGCCUCUUUUCCUCAGAAUGGAAGAGGAUGACAAGGAAAAGACCCUCCAAAAUCUCAUCAAAGAUGUGGAAGACUGCAGAGACCCAUUCACAUUUAAUUUUUCAUUCAGGGAAGACAUGGAGAUUUUUUUAGUUGAAUGCCAUGAAAAAAUGGGAUUAAAAUUGAAUUCUUCUUUUGAAGAGUGAAAAGUAUAAGACUUUCAA